RNAcentral lists this ribosomal RNA (1171 nucleotides) under Klebsiella michiganensis. Its description in RNAcentral is "partial 23S ribosomal RNA". It matches the Rfam family "Bacterial large subunit ribosomal RNA", at positions 1762 to 2925 of the family's 2925-position model. Lineage: Bacteria; Pseudomonadati; Pseudomonadota; Gammaproteobacteria; Enterobacterales; Enterobacteriaceae. The record is from RNAcentral.
UGGAGCUGAAAUCAGUCGAAGAUACCAGCUGGCUGCAACUGUUUAUUAAAAACACAGCACUGUGCAAACACGAAAGUGGACGUAUACGGUGUGACGCCUGCCCGGUGCCGGAAGGUUAAUUGAUGGGGUUAUCCUCGCGGAGAAGCUCUUGAUCGAAGCCCCGGUAAACGGCGGCCGUAACUAUAACGGUCCUAAGGUAGCGAAAUUCCUUGUCGGGUAAGUUCCGACCUGCACGAAUGGCGUAAUGAUGGCCAGGCUGUCUCCACCCGAGACUCAGUGAAAUUGAACUCGCUGUGAAGAUGCAGUGUACCCGCGGCAAGACGGAAAGACCCCGUGAACCUUUACUAUAGCUUGACACUGAACACUGGUCCUUGAUGUGUAGGAUAGGUGGGAGGCUUUGAAGUGUGGACGCCAGUCUGCAUGGAGCCAUCCUUGAAAUACCACCCUUUAAUGGCUGGUGUUCUAACGUGGGCCCCUGAUCGGGGUUGCGGACAGUGUCUGGUGGGUAGUUUGACUGGGGCGGUCUCCUCCUAAAGAGUAACGGAGGAGCACGAAGGUCAGCUAAUCCUGGUCGGACAUCAGGAGGUUAGUGCAAUGGCAUAAGCUGGCUUGACUGCGAGCGUGACGGCGCGAGCAGGUGCGAAAGCAGGUCAUAGUGAUCCGGUGGUUCUGAAUGGAAGGGCCAUCGCUCAACGGAUAAAAGGUACUCCGGGGAUAACAGGCUGAUACCGCCCAAGAGUUCAUAUCGACGGCGGUGUUUGGCACCUCGAUGUCGGCUCAUCACAUCCUGGGGCUGAAGUAGGUCCCAAGGGUAUGGCUGUUCGCCAUUUAAAGUGGUACGCGAGCUGGGUUUAGAACGUCGUGAGACAGUUCGGUCCCUAUCUGCCGUGGGCGCUGGAGAAUUGAGGGGGGCUGCUCCUAGUACGAGAGGACCGGAGUGGACGCAUCACUGGUGUUCGGGUUGUCAUGCCAAUGGCAUUGCCCGGUAGCUAAAUGCGGAAGAGAUAAGUGCUGAAAGCAUCUAAGCACGAAACUUGCCCCGAGAUGAGUUCUCCCUGACUCCUUGAGAGUCCUGAAGGAACGUUGAAGACGACGACGUUGAUAGGCCGGGUGUGUAAGCGCAGCGAUGCGUUGAGCUAACCGGUACUAAUGAACCGUGAGGCUUAACCUU